CAGAUACUUUCGGCAUUAUAUGGUUCUAAGAUAAAAUCCCAUUAAAAUGUAUAGAUAUGAAAUUUAAUCAUUUGGGACUAAUUUUCCUUUAAAUGUAUAGAUAUGAGAUUUACUGUUGGAAUCCACUUGUGCACCAGAUUCUCAGUUAAGUGUCUGGCAGAAUAUUCCCUUCCAGUUAACUCAGCUACACCAGAAUAUUCCUUCCAGAAUUGGUCCAGCUUCCCAUUUGUCGAGAGUUAGAGAGUGUGUUAAUUUUCUCUAUAAAUAACAGACCUUGUAUAGCUUUUAGAUGAUUGGAUUGUUUCCUUCCAAUCCCUCCUUCCAUGGAGGUUUCAAAAGUGUUUCUUCCUCCUCUCAUUUCCUCCUUUGAUGGAGUGUAAUACAUCUUUGGAGUUUAAUACAUUGCUUCUCAUCCAAUAAAUUCUAAUAUGGUAUCAGAGCAAAAUUGCUUCCUGUUUGCUGUGUUAAUUUCAUCUCAUUUUUGUGUGAUCUGCUCAAAUGAAGACAGAUCUACGAUUUCUUCUAUUUUGAAAUAAUUCUAGAAGUUUCAUUUCCAGUAGAUUUUCGUUCCCUCAUCAGAAAUAAGUUCAGACUGCUUAGAUGGCUAGAAUUUUCAUAUCUCUGUAGUUCCCUCUCUUCUGAAACUGAUAAUAGAGAUUCAGUUUCAACCGAUCUGGAGUUAGCAGUUAUCAGCAAAAUGAUUUGUGGUCAUGCCGACAACUGGAACUAAGAACUAUUUAGAUCAAGCUUGUUCUCGAAGUCUUCGCUGGAGAAUAAAUUCAAUCAGAUUCAGAUAUGUAAGGGUUUGAAGAAAGAGGAUUCAGAUUCGGAGGAGAUUUUACUGUUGAAGGUUUGACCGGAUUCAGGUGCAGAUGCGGUGAGCUCUUCUGUGCCGAUUUGCUCAACAUCAUUGACCAUAGUGAUUCUCAUUUCAUUAGGUGUCUGCAUAGAGAUCAGUUAAUUGCCAUGCUAGAAGGCAUCUACUUCUCAAUCCAACAUGCACAACAAUCCUCAGUUUCCAUUGAGUAGAGGCCUCCUGUAGAAAGUAAAUAAAACUAACUGACAGCAGAGGUGCUUGUGGAGUGAAUUGUAACUAUUUGAGAAAAUGCUGCAAUAAAAAAAAAAAAAAAAAAAAGCUUAUCCUUUGAUGCAGCAUCAGCAAUGAAGACUGUGGAAUCUGAGACUCUGGCUUUAACUUCUCCUCCAUUUCUCUCAUCUUCAAGAUGGAUCUCCUCCAUCUUGAGGGGGGUGUGUUGGAAUCCACUUGUGCACCAGAUUCUCAGUUAAGUGUCUGGCAGAAUAUUCCCUUCCAGUUAACUCAGCUACACCAGAAUAUUCCUUCCAGAAUUGGUCCAGCUUCCCAUUUGUCGAGAGUUAGAGAGUGUGUUAAUUUUCUCUAUAAAUAACAGACCUUGUAUAGCUUUUAGAUGAUUGGAUUGUUUCCUUCCAAUCCCUCCUUCCAUGGAGGUUUCAAAAGUGUUUCUUCCUCCUCUCAUUUCCUCCUUUGAUGGAGUGUAAUACAUCUUUGGAGUUUAAUACAUUGCUUCUCAUCCAAUAAAUUCUAAUAUUUACUAUAUUAUU
This 1581-nucleotide long non-coding RNA is filed under the name Olea europaea subsp. europaea. Lineage: Eukaryota; Viridiplantae; Streptophyta; Magnoliopsida; Lamiales; Oleaceae. The record is from RNAcentral.